AACGCACAUUGCGCCCCCCCAGUAUUCUGGAGGGCAUGCCUGUUCGAGCGUCAUUUCAACCAUCAAGCCCCGGGCUUGUGUUGGGGACCUGCGGCUGCCGCAGGCCCCGAAAAGCAGUGGCGGGCUCGCUGUCACACCGAGCGUAGUAGCAAUCACCUCGCUCAGGGCGUGCUGCGGGUGCCGGCCGUUAAACCCCCUUAACUUCUAAGGUUGACCUCGGAUCAGGUAGGAGUUACCCGCUGAACUUAA
RNAcentral lists this unclassified non-coding RNA (249 nucleotides) under uncultured Sordariales. RNAcentral's name for it is "sequence contains 5.8S rRNA gene, ITS2, 28S rRNA gene". Lineage: Eukaryota; Fungi; Ascomycota; Sordariomycetes; Sordariales. The record is from RNAcentral.